RNAcentral lists this ribosomal RNA (374 nucleotides) under uncultured prokaryote. RNAcentral describes it as "bacterial SSU rRNA". It matches the Rfam family "Bacterial small subunit ribosomal RNA", at positions 524 to 896 of the family's 1533-position model. The record is from RNAcentral.
UACGGGGGGUGCAAGCGUUAUUCGGAUUUACUGGGCGUAAAGCGCGCGCAGGCGGUUUUGUAAGUCAGAUGUGAAAGCCCGGGGCUCAACCCCGGAAGUGCACCUGAUACUGCAAGACUUGAGUAUGGGAGAGGGAAGUGGAAUUCCUGGUGUAGAGGUGAAAUUCGUAGAUAUCAGGAGGAACAUCGGUGGCGAAGGCGACUUCCUGGACCAAUACUGACGCUGAGGCGCGAAGGCGUGGGGAGCAAACAGGAUUAGAUACCCUGGUAGUCCACGCAGUAAACGGUGAUCACUAGGUGUAGCGGGUAUUGACCCCUGCUGUGCCGCAGCUAACGCAUUAAGUGAUCCGCCUGGGGAGUACGAUCGCAAGAUUA